GCUGGGUGUGGUGGUGCACACCUGUAGUCCCAGCUACUUGGGAGGCUGAGGCAGAAGAAUCACUUGAACCCGGGAGACAGAGGUUGCAGUGAGCCAAGAUCACGCCACUGCACUCCAGCCUGGGUGACAGAGCAAGACUCUGUCUCAA
This 148-nucleotide small RNA is filed under the name Pongo abelii (Sumatran orangutan). RNAcentral's name for it is "Metazoan signal recognition particle RNA (ENSPPYG00000033746.1)". Lineage: Eukaryota; Metazoa; Chordata; Mammalia; Primates; Hominidae. The record is from Rfam by way of RNAcentral.